Molecule: ribosomal RNA, 2412 nt
Filed under: Triticum aestivum (bread wheat)
Lineage: Eukaryota; Viridiplantae; Streptophyta; Magnoliopsida; Poales; Poaceae
Description: partial small subunit ribosomal RNA
Source: RNAcentral
AUGUCGUGUGGGGGAUGUGCAGCAAGCGUUAAACGCAUUUUGGAGAAUGAGCCCCAGGUGGUGUCUGCAACUGUCAACCUUGCUACUGAGAUGGCAGUUGUGUGGGCUGUGCCGGAAGAUAGAGCUGUACAGGAUUGGAAACUGCAGUUGGGUGAGAAGCUCGCUAGCCAGUUGACAACAUGUGGGUACAAAUCCAGCCAGCGAGAUUCUUCGAAAGUCAGUUCACAGAAUGUUUUUGAAAGAAAGAUGGGCGAAAAACUGCAAAAUCUGAAGCAAAGUGGUCGAGAACUUGCUGUAUCUUGGGCACUAUGUGCUGUUUGCCUACUGGGACAUAUUUCUCAUCUCUUUGGAGUUAAUGCACCAUUGGUGCACCUGUUUCAUUCCACUGGAUUCCAUUUGUCUCUCUCAAUAUUUACAUUUAUUGGGCCUGGACGAAGACUAAUUAUUGAUGGAAUAAAGAGUCUAUUCAAGGGUUCUCCAAACAUGAAUACGUUGGUUGGUUUAGGUGCUCUGUCAUCUUUUGCUGUCAGCUCAGUUGCAGCCUUCAUUCCAAAGCUGGGAUGGAAGACAUUUUUUGAGGAACCAAUUAUGUUGAUAGCUUUUGUUCUUCUAGGGAAGAAUCUUGAGCAGAGGGCGAAGUUAAAAGCUGCUAGUGAUAUGACCGGAUUGCUCAAUAUACUUCCAUCAAAAGCACGCCUAAUGGUGGAUAAUGAUGCAGAGCAAUCAUCAUUCACAGAGGUCCCAUGUGGUACUCUUGCUGUUGGGGACUAUAUGUUAGUGCUGCCUGGGGACCGCAUUCCAGCCGAUGGACUUGUGAAAGCUGGAAGAAGUACAGUUGACGAGUCAAGUUUGACAGGUGAACCUAUGCCGGUAACUAAGAUUGCAGGGGCAGAAGUAUCAGCGGGAAGCAUUAACUUAAACGGUAAACUGACAGUUGAAGUUCGACGACCUGGCGGUGAGACUGUCAUGUCUGACAUACUUCACUUAGUGGAAGAAGCACAGACAAGGGAAGCCCCUGUUCAGCGAUUAGCUGACAAGGUUGCCGGGAACUUUACAUAUGGCGUUAUGGCGCUUUCUUCUGCUACCUUUAUGUUCUGGAGUAUUUUUGGUUCACAAUUUGUACCUGCUGCUAUCCAGCAGGGAAGUGCAAUGUCUCUGGCUUUGCAGCUUUCUUGCAGUGUUCUGGUAAUUGCUUGCCCAUGUGCUCUUGGUCUUGCCACACCCACUGCAGUGCUGGUUGGUACUUCGUUAGGUGCAACGAGAGGACUUCUUUUACGUGGUGGGGAUGUUUUGGAGAAAUUUGCGGAAGUUGAUGCCAUUGUGUUUGAUAAGACCGGAACUUUAACAAUUGGGAAACCUGUAGUGACAAAAGUAAUAGCUUCUCACAGCGAGGGAGGUGUAAAUACAAAAGAUUACUGGAACAAUGAAUGGACAGAAGGUGACAUUCUUAGUUUGGCUGCUGGAGUAGAAUCAAAUACAAACCAUCCACUUGGAAAAGCGAUCAUGGAAGCUGCCCAGGCUGCCAAUUGCAUCAAUAUGAAGGCAAAGGAUGGGUCCUUUAUGGAAGAACCAGGGUCUGGUGCUGUGGCUACGAUUGGUGAGAAACAGGUUUCGGUUGGUACAUUAGACUGGAUUAGGAGGCAUGGUGUUGUUCGUGACCCAUUUCAUGAAGCAGAAAGUUUUGGUCAGUCUGUUGCAUAUGUAGCAGUUGAUGGUACUCUAGCUGGUCUUAUUUGUUUCGAGGACAAGAUCAGAGAAGAUUCUCAUCAAGUUAUCAGUGCCCUGUCUAAGCAAGGAAUUAGUGUGUAUAUGUUAUCUGGGGACAAGGAGAGUGCUGCUAUGAAUGUUGCUUCAGUUGUUGGCAUUCAGUUAGACAAGGUGAUUUCUGAAGUUAAACCACAUGAGAAAAAGAAGUUCAUAUCUGAACUUCAAAAGGAGCACAAGUUAGUUGCGAUGGUUGGUGAUGGCAUCAAUGAUGCUGCAGCCCUAGCUUUAGCUGAUGUUGGAAUCGCAAUGGGUGGGGGUGUUGGUGCAGCUAGUGAUGUAUCUUCAGUUGUUCUCAUGGGUAAUAGGUUAUCUCAGCUUGUUGAUGCUUUAGAGUUAAGUAAAGAAACCAUGAGAACAGUGAAGCAAAAUCUUUGGUGGGCUUUUCUGUAUAACAUUGUUGGGCUACCCGUUGCUGCUGGAGCAUUGCUGCCAGUGACGGGUACGAUGCUGACCCCGUCAAUAGCUGGAGCACUGAUGGGUUUUAGUUCAGUCAGCGUGAUGGCCAAUUCCUUGCUUUUGAGGGCGAGGAUGAGUUCAAGGCAUCAUGUUCAGAGCAGACAAAAGCCUCACAACACCAUUUCUGGUGUGUCAGACGGAGCUGAUGAGGUAGAGCAAAGUUAUCCAUCAAAAUGGAGGAGUACCUGA